Molecule: transfer RNA, 73 nt
Filed under: Streptococcus pneumoniae
Lineage: Bacteria; Bacillati; Bacillota; Bacilli; Lactobacillales; Streptococcaceae
Description: tRNA-Val(tac)
Rfam family: tRNA
About the family: Transfer RNA (tRNA) molecules are approximately 80 nucleotides in length. Their secondary structure includes four short double-helical elements and three loops (D, anti-codon, and T loops).
Source: RNAcentral
GGGAGUUUAGCUCAGCUGGGAGAGCAUCUGCCUUACAAGCAGAGGGUCAGCGGUUCGGUCCCGUUAACUCCCA